This is a long non-coding RNA of Cyanistes caeruleus (blue tit), 316 nucleotides long. NCBI's taxonomy places the organism in Eukaryota, Metazoa, Chordata, Aves, Passeriformes, Paridae. The record is from Ensembl.
CAACCUUUCUUUCAAUGGCACAGUCACUGUGUCCUUUCUGUCUCCUCAACACUUGCCUGUUCAAAAUAGUCCUGUGUCUUACCCAGGACCUCACAGGAAAUGCAAGCAUAAGGCCAUCCAUACCAAACCCAUCAAACAGUGGAGCUGGCAGCUGCUGGAGGUGAAGAAAAAGGCUGCAGUCUAUGCCCUCAGGAGCCAAAACCAAACAUCUGACCUGAGUUUCUCAGGACUGGGGGGAAGCAGAGCCAUGAGAUUGCAAAAGAGGGGUCAUACUUCUACAUGGUCUCUGUGUGAGUAUGUGAGUAUGAAUUUCUGU